This 795-nucleotide small RNA is filed under the name Pongo abelii (Sumatran orangutan). RNAcentral's name for it is "retained intron". The record is from RNAcentral. Lineage: Eukaryota; Metazoa; Chordata; Mammalia; Primates; Hominidae.
GUUGGAGUGGCAGUUGGUCCUAAUUUCUCCCGAAGCCCGCGGAGGAGCGGCGUGCCGCGAUUCACCAGCCUGGUCCCUUCUGCGGAGAGCGAUGCCGCUUCCCAACACCAUGUUCUGCGCUCAGCAGAUCCACAUUCCCCCGGAGCUGCCGGACAUCCUGAAGCAAUUCACCAAGGCUGCCAUCCGCACCCAGCCGGCCGACCUGCUGCAGUGGUCCGCGGGCUAUUUUUCAGCUUUGUCGAGAGGAGAUCCACUUCCUGUAAAGGACAGAAUGGAAAUGCCCACGGCAACGCGGAAAACAGACACAGGCCUGACUCAAGGACUCCUGAAAGUUUUGCACAAGCAGUGUCACCACAAGCGGUAUGUGGAAUUAACAGAUCUUGAGCAGAAGUGGAAGAACUUGUGCCUGCCGAAGGAAAAAUUCAAAGCGCUCUUACAACUGGAUCCUUGUGAAAACAAAAUCAAGUGGAUAAACUUUUUAGCACUUGGAUGCAGCAUGCUUGGCGGGUCCUUGAACACUGCGCUGAAGCACCUGUGCGAGAUCCUCACGGACGACCCGGAGGGCGGGCCCGCUCGCAUCCCCUUCAAGACGUUUUCCUACGUCUACCGCUACUUGGCCAGAUUAGACUCAGACGUGUCUCCCUUGGAGACAGACUCCUACCUUGCCUCUCUAAAGGAAAGUGUGUAAGUAUGCACCUUCUCUAGGAUUCAAGUAUGUUGACCAUGGGUGAAUCUCCUGUUUCACUUCCCCCUUGUAGGGAAAAAACUCAGUUCUUCCAUUGCUCUCACACCACA